UGGGGUCCCUGAUGUCAACUUCGGGGCCCUUGAGGUCGCCUUCCACUUUGGGCAGAGAAAUGUCCAUGUCGCCCUUCACCUUUGGACCUUUCAGAUUCAGGUCAACUUCAGGCAUAGAGAUCUUCGGUGCCUUGAGGUGUAAGUCAGGCAUUUUAAAUUUGGGGCCCUUCAGUUUCCCUUCUGGACCAUGAAUAUCAAUAUCAGGAGUGUCAAUGUCCACUUUGGGUCCUGAGACAUCAAUGUCAGCUUUGGGCAAAUUAACAUCCACUUCUGGGCCCUCUCCUUUAAAUCCUGGCAUGCUGAAUUUGGGCAUUUUCACCUUGGGCAUCUUCAGGUGCCAGUCUGGGCCUCGAACAUCCACAUCUGGGGCAUUAAUAUCCACUUUGGGGCCUUUAAUAUCCAAGUCAGGAACUUGCAUGUCACCUUCCACUUUUGGCAGAGACACAUCCAUAUCACCCUUCACUUUGGGUCCUUUCAGGUUAAGAUCAAUGUCAGGCAUGGAGAUCUUGGGGGCUUUGAUGUUCAUCUCAGGCAUUUUGAAUUUGGGACCUUUCAACUUUCCCUCUGGGCCUU
Molecule: long non-coding RNA, 573 nt
Filed under: Homo sapiens (human)
Lineage: Eukaryota; Metazoa; Chordata; Mammalia; Primates; Hominidae
Description: HSALNT0176088
Source: RNAcentral